AACGAACGCUGGCGGCAGGCUUAACACAUGCAAGUCGAACGCCCCGCAAGGGGAGUGGCAGACGGGUGAGUAACGCGUGGGAAUCUACCCAACUCUACGGAAUAACUCAGGGAAACUUGUGCUAAUACCGUAUACGCCCUUCGGGGGAAAAGAUUUAUCGGAGUUGGAUGAGCCCGCGUUGGAUUAGCUAGUUGGUGGGGUAAAGGCCUACCAAGGCGACGAUCCAUAGCUGGUCUGAGAGGAUGAUCAGCCACAUUGGGACUGAGACACGGCCCAAACUCCUACGGGAGGCAGCAGUGGGGAAUAUUGGACAAUGGGCGCAAGCCUGAUCCAGCCAUGCCGCGUGAGUGAUGAAGGCCCUAGGGUUGUAAAGCUCUUUCACCGGUGAAGAUAAUGACGGUAACCGGAGAAGAAGCCCCGGCUAACUUCGUG
Molecule: ribosomal RNA, 432 nt
Filed under: uncultured bacterium
Lineage: Bacteria
Description: bacterial SSU rRNA
Rfam family: Bacterial small subunit ribosomal RNA
Source: RNAcentral